Molecule: long non-coding RNA, 8290 nt
Organism: Mustela lutreola (European mink)
Lineage: Eukaryota; Metazoa; Chordata; Mammalia; Carnivora; Mustelidae
Exons: 8
Source: RefSeq, a predicted model, not a curated record
CGCCGCUCGGUCUUUUACGUCUGGACUUGGGAAGUGUGGUCUAGGUUGUGGGUGAGUGGGCCUCGCGGACGAGUACCUGGCGGGCGAAGUUGGCGCGGGCUGAGAUCAAAAAGAUCGUUUGAAAAUGGGCAGUCCCCGACCUUGUCUGAGAUUGAGCUGUACUGUGCCCAGAUGGCGCUGUGUGCAAACCAGAUUAGUGAAAGAGGCAGGGAUCUGGCAUUCUGUGAAAACGCUUAAUCUUCAAAAUAAUUGGUCCGCUGCGGGAACGGUGGGCUCUCUGUGGUGUAAAGGAGCUGUUACCGGGAGAUGAUGAGGUGCAGAGGGAAAUUCCAAAACAAAUAUCCAAGAGAAUAUUUGCUAGGAAAUGACCUGAUUGGAACCUAACGAUCUUAACCCAGCAUCCUGGAGAUUGAUGAACAAUAAUGGAGCUGUAAAUGUCACAGAGGAGCAACCUUGCUUGUAAGUGAGGUGUCGCUGUCUGCUCAUGGAAAGACGCCAGUUUGCAGUAACCUUCCUAAGGCAUAACUCACUUCUGGCAAAUGCCACCAGAUUUACUUGUAUGAAAAACAUAAGGAAAAGCUCUUCAUUUUUACUGGCAUGGAAAGAAAAUCUACAAAUCAAGACCAUAUAUUCAUUUUUAUUUCUGUAAACAAAUAAUCAAAUCGAAUGUAUCCAUAAGAAUUAAGCCUCUUACUUUUGUCACACUGCCCUAGCCACAACCUGUUAGUCAGAUUGCUUUGUAGAUCUAGUUCUAUUUUAAAUACAGGAAUGUGUAGAAAACUAAUUUUUAUGGUGAAGUCUUUUUUUUUUUUUUUCUCCAGUUAACCAGACUUGUAAUCAGAUCACUCUGAAUGCUUUGCCUUUGGUCACCUGUUGAAUUUAAAGUAUGUGGAUGUAAUUAAAGUGGAGUGAAAAUCGGAGUAUUGUGGGAAAAUCCUUGGGGUUUUUUUGGCGAAAUGACUUGGUUUGGCAGUAUCACUGAAUAAGUACAAAUCAUAUUGGCUUUUUGUGUGGUACUAAGUAUUCCUGGGUUAAUGGUGAGCAAAAUGGAGAGACUGCCUGUUAGGGGAGAGAAAAAUACCAGGUAUCAAAAUGAUCAGUGAUUACUGGUCCUAAUGCAAUUGUAUUUUGAAAGGAUGCUCAAGAUGGGAAAUGUAGAAUGCUGAAAAUGAAGAGAGCACAGCGUAACAAUUAUGGGUAAUGGAGGAAGAUAAGGGAGUUUAAAGUAGUCAAACAUUGCACAGAAUGUAGACUGUAAUAGCAUCUGAUCUAACCAAGAUGGGCCCCAUGCAUGAUCAUUUUCCAUAAAUAGCUGUAUACGUAAGUUGUUCUUUUUUUUUUAUUUAUUAUUUUUUUUAAGAUUUUAUUUAUUUAUCAGAGAGAGAGGGAAGAGAGCGAGUACAGGCAGACAGAAUGGCAGGCAGAGGGAGAAGCAGGCUCCCUGCUGAGCAAGGAGCCCAAUGUGGGACUCGAUCCCAGGACGCUGGGAUCAUGACCUGAGCCGAAGGCAGCUGCUUAACCAACUGAGCCACCCAGGCGUCCCACGGGAAGACAUAGAGUAGAAAAUCACAUAAUUUAGUCCAUUUGAUUCUGCAGAGUCCACACUUGAACAAAUAAGGACCAAAAAGAACUGGAACAGAUAAUCCUAAAAUUUGUAUGGAACUGAAAAAACCCCAAAUAGCCAAAGAAAUGUUGAAAAAGAAAACCAAAGCUGGUGAGAUCACAAACCUGGACUUCAAGCUCUGUUACAAAGCUGUGAUCAUCAAAACAGUAUGGUACUGGCACAAAAACAGACACAUACAUCAUUGGAACAGAAUAGAGUACCCAGAAAUGGACCGUCAACUCUAUGGUCAACUAAUCUUUGACAAAACAAAAGAAUAUCCAAUAGAUAAAAAGGCAGUCUCUUCAAAAAAUGGUGUUGGGAAAAUUGGACAGCCACAUGCAGGAGAAUGAAACUGGAUAAUUUCCUUAUACCAUACACAAAAAAAUAGACUCAAAAUGGAUGAAAAACCUAAAUGUGAGAGAGGAAUCCAUCAAAAUCCUAGAGGAGAACACAGGCAGCAAUCUCUUGUAACUUUGGCCACAGCAACUUCUUGCUAGAUACGUUUUCAAAGGCAAGGGAAACAAAGGCAAACAUGAACUAUUGGGACGUAAAUAAAGCUUUUUGCACAGAAAAGGAAACAGUCAACAAAACCAAAAGACAACAGAAAAGAAUGGGAGAAGAUAAUUUGCAAAUGUCUUACCAGAUAAAGGCUAGUAUCCAAAAUCUAUAAAGGACUUACCAAACUCAACACCCAGAGAACAAAUAGUUCAAUCAAGAAAUGGGCAGAAGACACGAACAGAUAUUUCUCCAAUGAAGACAUACAUACAGCCAACAGACACAUGAAAAAAUGUUCCACAUCUCUUGGCAUCAGGGAAAUACAAAUCAAAAUCACAAUGAGAUAUCACCUCAUACCAGUCAGAAUGGCUAAAAUUAACAAGUCAGGAAAUGACAGAUGUUGGCAAGGAUGCGAAGAAAGGGGAACCCUCCUACACUGUUGGCGGGAAUGCAAGCUGGUGCAGCCACUCCGGAAAACAGCAUAAAGUUUCCUCAGAAAGUUAAAAAUGGAACUACUCUAUGACCCAGCAAUUGCACUAUUGGGUGUUUACCCCAAUACAAAGGUAGUGAUCAAAGGGGCACCUGCAAUUGCUGUUUAUAGCAGCAAUGUCCACAAUAGCCAAAUUAUGGCAAGAGCCCAGAUGUACAUUGAUAGAUGAAUGGAUAAGAAGAUACUGUUUGUAUGUGUGUAUGGAACAUACAUAUAUAUGGAACACUACUCAGCCAUCAAAAAAAUGAAAUCUUGGCGAUUUGCAGUAACAUUGGUAGAACUAGAGGGUAUUAUGCUAAAUGAAAUAAGUCAGAGAAAGAGAAUUAACAUGAUCUCAGUGAUGUGUGGUAUUUAAGAAAUGAAACAUGGGCGCCUGGGUGGCUCAGUGAGUUAAAGCCUCUGCCUUCGGCUCAGGUCAUGAUCCCAGGGUCCUGGGAUCAAGCCCCACAUUGGGCUCUUUGCUCGGCAGGGAGCCUGCUUCCUCCUCUCUCUCUCUGCCUGCUUCUCUGCCUACUUGUGAUCUCAGGCUGUCAAAUAAAUAAAGUCUAAAAAAAAAAAAAGAAAAAACAGAGGAUCAUCGGGGAGAAGAAAAAAUAAGAUGAAUUCAGAGAGGGAGACAAACCAUGGGAGAGUCUUAAUCAUAGAAAACAAACAGGGUUGCUGGGGUGCGGGGAUGGGGUAACUGGGUGAUGGGCAUUAAGGAAGGUAUGUGAUGUAAUGAUCACUGCGUAUUACAAGACUCGUGAAUCACUGACCUCUACCUCUGAAACUAAUAAUACAUUAAAUGUUUAUUAAUUGAAUUGACAUUUAAGCUUAAAAUCUUUAAAAAUAACCCCCCCAGAAAUAAAAUCUCUUUUUUCUCUAUGAACAUUAGGAUUGCAGUAAGUUUUAAAACUUAUUUUUUGUAACUGACAGGUCAUACCUAUCAUAAUUUUGUUCCCUAUUUAAUGGAAAACCGUAUAAAACAAUGACACUUUCACUUCUUUUAAUUUUUCAUAGUACUUUGACAUAUAUCAUCUAGGUUUCUCUUAGAGAAACCCUGGAAGGUAGAUAAAAGAGGCAUUAUUUGGUAUUCAUAUGUUUUAUAUGUGAUAAACUAAGAUUGAAAUAUUUAAAAUAUAGGCUGUUUAAGGUCUAGAUCACUAGAAGGAAUGAUUUCAUCAUCUGUAUUUUGCACAUAAAAAUACUGUUGUUGUUUGUUUUUUUUUUAUUUUAGGUGGGACAUUUAAGGAAAACACUGACAAGACUAGGAGGCAUCCAAAGAAAGAAGACCAAGGCUCUGUAAACAAUUCAUUCGGGACAGCAUUUUAAGGACUUGGAAAUAUUUAACCUGAAGAAAUGAAUUUCAAGGAAAAAUAUGGCGAAUUUUAGAUAUUUGAAAGUACAUCAGGUGGAAUAAUAGUAUAUUAAUAAUAAUCCCAUGUGGUAGGUACUGUUAUUAAGCCAUUUUACAGAUGAGGUAGUUGAACCUUAGAAAAGUAACCUAGUGAAAAUCACAAAGGAAGUGGAGGAAUUGGCAUUUAAAAUCUGGUAAUCUAAGUCCAAAGAUGCUGUUCUUACCCUGCUAAAUACCUCCCCCAAAGGAGUAGUUAACUUAAGUGUUUCUCUAGAAAGCACAAAGGAGAUUAAUGAAAUAAAUAAAAAGAGGCAAAGUGAACCUAAAAAUGAAGUUCCUUAUAUGAGAAUAUACAGCCUCCAAAUCAUAGUCUAUCCAUAUGAGUUGGAGAAAGGAAGCUGGCCCUAAUCAGCUUUAAAGACUCUUUCAAGUCUAAGUCCAGAUUCUUCACUUGCCCAAGGUAACCCAACUAGUUAAUGACCAAAAUGACAACCAACAUCCUCUGUCCCUUUCUCAGUCCAGUGUUCAGUCCACUAAAUACAGUGCCCCAGUUUUUCCCCCCAGAGGUAAUGUAAAUUUCCUCAAAAUUCACUAAUCUGUGAAAAUGGGUAAAAUCACAUUAAAUUAUACCUGUUCACUGCCCUUCUGUUGACACAGAACCUCUAGCCCCUACAAAAUUCCUUCAGAGAGGUUCUGGAGUCCCCAUUAGAGUAUCUCACAUAUAUUCACAAAUAGGCCUCCUGAUGCCCUUUCUGAUAUUCUGCCUAUUACUAUGACCCUUCCAUUGGGUACCCCCACAUAACCAGUGCUUCCCACAAAGCAUCAAGGUCUCCUUUCUUGCUAAUAUUCAUAGUUCAGAGGGGUAUUGUGCUCUCAUAUCCUCCUCUUGGUACUAUGCCUCAUAAAAGAGAAAUCUGUGCAGUUCCUAUUGUCAGCCUUUUGUCAUAGACAUUUUUCCAUGAAGGGAACCUGGCUGGCUCGGUCUGUAGAGCAUGCAACUCUUGAUCUCCUUGGGGCCAUGAACUUAAGCCCCAUGUUCAGAGUAGAGUAUAGUUAAUAAAAUAAAAAAUAAAAAUGUAUCAUACAUGUUUUCCCAUAGCACUGAGACCUGGUACCUGUAGUCAGACUUGGGUUUAGUACUUUCUUAUCCUUCUCCUCUGCCCAAUGUCGGAUCUCUUCCUAGCAGACUCCUACCUUGCAAUUCAACCUAAGAUCCAGGAAGGCUUAGCCUCAUUAGUCCAGACAAAUAUGAAUCUCAGAUUAGGCUUAUCCUUGCUAUGUCAACAGUAGCCUGAAAUCCACUUUUUUUUUUUUUUAAGGUUUUUAUUUAUUAUUUUUUUAAAGUAAACUCUCAACGUGGGACUCGGAUUUACAGUCCUGAGAUCAAGAGUCACACACUCCACCAACUGAGCCAGCCAGAUGCCCCAAGUAACUUUAAUCAACUACUUUUAUACAAAAAUGUUGCUAAUAGUUAAUAAUUUACCUACAUUUGAAGAACAUGGAUAUUAAGCAUACUAAACUUCUCUGGAGCAAUAGUGAGGUGUAUUCUUUAGGGCACAUCUCAAUUCUCAUCUUGUAGUUAUAUUACUGUUGGAGACUAUCAGCUUAUAUUGCAUUUCUUUUUCAAAAAUGAAUGCACAGGGAGCCUGGGUGGCUUCGUAGGUUAAGCAUCUAACUCAACUUCAGCUCCGGUCAUGAUCUCAGGGUUGUGAGAUCAAGCCUGUGUCAGGCUAGCAUGGAGCCUGCUUAGGAGUCUCUCUUUCCUUCUUACUCUGCCCCUUCUCCCACCUUGCUUCUCUUUCAAUAUCUCUCUCAAAAAAAAAAAAAAAAAAAAAAAAGAAUACACAAACAUUGCUCAAAGCCAGAAAUGUCAGGCUGGUGUUGAGAUUCAUGCACUUGUCGCUACAUUCUACAUACCUGGAUAUAGCUCAGUUUCUUGAGGGAUGUUGUUUGCUUUAAAUUGUAUCUGUUCCUCUGAGAUUGAACUUGAUAGGUUAGGCAUGUGAUGAUUCAGAAACAUGCUAAAAUUUAUCCAUUUGUUCAUUGAGUAAGUAAGUAGGGAAUAGCUAACAUGUACAGGUACUGUUUGUCCUAAGCACUAAAAAUAUAGCAGUAAACCAAACAACCAAAAUCCCUGCCCUUGUGGAGCUUGUAUUUUAGGAGGAGGGGAGGAAUACUAAAUAAAUAGAUACAUUAUAAAGUAUAUGAGAAAAUGAGAAACGAUAUGAAAAAAAUAGAACACAAGACAUUGGGAGUGGGUUUGGGGAGGGAAAUAGUGUUGUGAUUUUUAAUAUAGUUGACAGAAUAGGCUUCCAUGAGAUUAAGCAAAGACAUAUAGGAGAUGAGGGAUUGAGCUAUGCACAUACCUGGGAAAAGCACAUUCCCAUGGCAGCAGCCCAAAGACUGAAACAAGCGUGGUAAAGAAUAGAAGAAACAGGCCAUGCAAAUCAUGUAGGGCCUUAUGGGUCAUUAAAAGGAUUUUGUUCUGAGUAAAAUGGGAAGCACUGCAAAAAACAACAACAAAAACCACACACAGAGAAAACUAGAAGUGUGAUUCAUAUGCAUCAAAACUUGUGAACCCUGCCCCCUAGGGCCCCGAUUGUGGUCUCUGCCAUCUACCAUUGAAAGAAAACAGGGCUUAUUGAAUAAAUGACUUUUUACAGAUCUUAAGGCAAGAAAUAUACAAGAUGCACCUUGUGCACCUUGUUAGAGCAGAGAGCAAGAAAGCUACCAAAGACUGCUAGGAUUGUGUUAAAAGAACUCAGUAGCCAACCUGGAGCAUCUCCUACCACACAAAGAUGUAAAUUUAGACUAUUACCAAGGAUAAGAACUACAAUAGUUUGACAUACAUAAAAUUUGUUUAAAUCUGUGAAUUCAAAAUGAUACCUAAACAAAACAAAACUGAUUUUGAUGCUCUUUGAGGAUGCUGGUGAACCAACUCAUCAGUUUCAGAACUGGCAAAUACACCAAUUGUAGUAACAGAUAAUCAAAUAAAAGAUAAGUUUCUCUUUAUUGCUGUAUCCUAUUUAAUAACUGAAAAGAUUAACAUAAUUAGAAUGCCAUCAUUUUGCAAACACCUAACAAAUUAAUGUAUUUAAGCAAUGAUCAUUAAUGGCCGCUACCAUUAAGAAAAAGAGUGUAAGUAGUUGAUUGGAAGUUCUGGGAUCAUGUCAACAACAUACAGAUACUUUACGAUCCACUCUCCACAGGAAGUAUGCUUUAAAUAAUUUUUCCAUUAAAUGUGAUAUAUUUACCCUAAGAUAUUAGCACUCUCCAUUCUUUGCAAUAAUGUCACACAUCAGCAAGAUGUCUGAUCAGUCUCCCCAGAAAGAGUUCCUUGAAUGAGUCUACAGUUGUUAUUUUUUUUUUUUAAGAUUUUUUUUUAUUUGACAGACAGGAAGAGAGGGAACAUAAGCAAGGCUAGUGGGAGAAAGAAAAGCAGGUUGCCUGCUGAGCAGGGAGCCCAAUGCUGGCUCCAUCCCAGGAUCCUGGGAUCAUGACCUGAGCCGAAGGCAGAUGCUUAAGGACUGAGCCAACCAGGUCCCCCUCCUAGAAUAAAUCGAACAAAAUUCUAGAAAACUAAUUAUUAACAUGAAUAGCAUAGCAUGAGAUUUAUCACUUCAGCUUCAGCUACAUCUUGGAGAGGUGUGUUAUUAUUGUUUUUGUUAUUGUUUUGUUAUUAUUGUUUUAUUAUUAUUAAUUGUUAUUAGUUAGCAAUUAAUACUUAAUGUUAUUAAUUAUUGUUUUAUUAUUGUUGUUAUUAAUUAACAAUAAUUAAUAAUUGUUAUUGUUUUGUUAUUAUUGUUUUAUUAUUGUUUGUUGCCCAUGUUAUUAUUGUCUACCUUAAUAAACAGCCAUAUCUCACAUGUAUCUCAGAAGGUAAAAUAUGCUCAAUACCAUAUUAAUGUUUAUUCUAGAUUUAUAGUUCAUAGAUGAUUCAUAUUUCAGUGCCCCAAAUUUCUUCAUUCUUCUUAAUAUAGAAUACAUACAACCUCUUAAUCCAAUGAUAUCCAAAUAUAAGAAACUGUCUCCUAUGCAAUUUCCUGUUUGCCAUUUAUUGGGAAUUUAAAUUAUUUAUCAAUUUUUCACUCACAUAAAGAAUGAUCUGCAGUGGGGCGCCUGGGUGGCUAAGUGGGUUAAGCCUCUGCCUUCCGCUCGGGUCAUGAUCCGAGGGUCCUAGGAUCGAGCCUCGAAUCUGGCUCUCUGCUCAGCAGGGAGCAUGCUUCCCCCUCUCUCUCUGCCUGCCUCUCUGCCUACUUGUGAUCUCUCUCUGUCAAAUAAAUAAAUAAAAAUUUAAAAAAAAAAAAGAAUGAUCUGCAGAGCAUAAACUUCCAAAGUAAGUAAAAUAUACAUUUUCAACUUUAGG